RNAcentral lists this ribosomal RNA (484 nucleotides) under uncultured bacterium. Its description in RNAcentral is "partial 16S ribosomal RNA". It matches the Rfam family "Bacterial small subunit ribosomal RNA", at positions 30 to 507 of the family's 1533-position model. The record is from RNAcentral.
AUUGAACGCUGGCGGCAGGCCUAACACAUGCAAGUCGAGCGGAUGAAGGGAGCUUGCUCCUGGAUUCAGCGGCGGACGGGUGAGUAAUGCCUAGGGAUCUGCCUGGUAGUGGGGGAUAACGUCCGGAAACGGGCGCUAAUACCGCAUACGUCCUGAGGGAGAAAGUGGGGGAUCUUCGGACCUCACGCUAUCAGAUGAGCCUAGGUCGGAUUAGCUAGUUGGUGGGGUAAAGGCCUACCAAGGCGACGAUCCGUAACUGGUCUGAGAGGAUGAUCAGUCACACUGGAACUGAGACACGGUCCAGACUCCUACGGGAGGCAGCAGUGGGGAAUAUUGGACAAUGGGCGAAAGCCUGAUCCAGCCAUGCCGCGUGUGUGAAGAAGGUCUUCGGAUUGUAAAGCACUUUAAGUUGGGAGGAAGGGCAGUAAGUUAAUACCUUGCCGUUUUGACGUUACCAACAGAAUAAGCACCGGCUAACUUCGUG